AGGGGUCAUUGGGUGUUAAUAAUUGUGAGACUAGCUAAGGAGACUGUCUAUGACAUGGAUUCAUUGCCAAACCGCUCUGAUGACCAGGACAUGAGAAAUAUAGUGAAUACUUCAAUCAAAAUGUAUAACUCUCACACAGGCAAACAAUCAUCACGUAAAUCAGCCAUAUGGAAAAAUCUACAUGGCACUCCUCGACAACCAACAAAUGUAGAGUGGCUAUUAAGUGAUGCGUUUCAUGAGAGCUAUAAUUCAUGAUCCAACCCUAGCAUUUGAGAAGAAAAAGGAACCAGUUCAGCAUGUACAAGAACAUAUUGACGAAGUCAGGCUGGAAUGGGCAAAAUUCGUGAACAAGCAAUUACAAAAUUAUAAGUGAUAUAAUUUAUUUUAACAAUGUUU
Molecule: long non-coding RNA, 396 nt
Organism: Prunus dulcis (almond)
Lineage: Eukaryota; Viridiplantae; Streptophyta; Magnoliopsida; Rosales; Rosaceae
Exons: 3
Source: RefSeq, a predicted model, not a curated record